GUCGAGAAUCUUUCACAAUGGGGGCAACCCUGAUGGAGCGACGCCGCGUGGAGGAUAAGGUCUUCGGAUUGUAAACUCCUGUCAUGCGUGAACAAGGUUGCUUGGUUAAUACCUGGGCAAAUUGAUGGUAACGCAAGAGGAAGAGACGGCUAACUCUGUGCCAGCAGCCGCGGUAAUACAGAGGUCUCAAGCGUUGUUCGGAAUCACUGGGCGUAAAGGGUGCGUAGGUGGCGUGGUAAGUCAGAUGUGAAAGCCCGGGGCUCAACCUCGGAACUGCAUCCGAUACUGCCAUGCUAGAGUACUGGAGAGGUGACUAGAAUUCUAGGUGUAGCAGUGAAAUGCGUAGAUAUCGAGAGGAAUACCAAAGGCGUAGGCAGGUCACUGGACAGUUACUGACACUGAGGCACGAAGGCCAGGGGAGCGAACGGGAUUAGAUACCCCAGUAGUCC
This 449-nucleotide ribosomal RNA is filed under the name uncultured bacterium. RNAcentral's name for it is "partial 16S ribosomal RNA". It matches the Rfam family "Bacterial small subunit ribosomal RNA", at positions 354 to 796 of the family's 1533-position model. The record is from RNAcentral.